AGUGAACGCUGGCGGUAGGCCUAACACAUGCAAGUCGAAUGGCAGCACAGUAAGAGCUUGCUCUUACGGGUGGCGAGUGGCGGACGGGUGAGGAAUACAUCGGAAUCUACUUUUUCGUGGGGGAUAACGUAGGGAAACUUACGCUAAUACCGCAUACGACCUACGGGUGAAAGCAGGGGAUCUUCGGACCUUGCGCGAUUGAAUGAGCCGAUGUCGGAUUAGCUAGUUGGCGGGGUAAAGGCCCACCAAGGCGACGAUCCGUAGCUGGUCUGAGAGGAUGAUCAGCCACACUGGAAAUGAGACACGGUCGAGACUCCUACGGGAGGCAGCAGUGGGGAAUAUUGGAGAAUGGGCGCAAGCCUGAUCCAGCCAUACCGCGUGGGUGAAGAAGGCCUUCGGGUUGUAAAGACCUUUUGUUGGGAAAGAAAAGCAGCAGGUUAAUACCCCGCUGUUCUGACGGUACCAAAAGAAUAAGCACCGGCUAACUUCGCG
This 492-nucleotide ribosomal RNA is filed under the name uncultured bacterium. Its description in RNAcentral is "partial 16S ribosomal RNA". It matches the Rfam family "Bacterial small subunit ribosomal RNA", at positions 29 to 507 of the family's 1533-position model. The record is from RNAcentral.